UACGUAGGGUGCAAGCGUUAAUCGGAAUUACUGGGCGUAAAGCGUGCGCAGGCGGCUAUGCAAGACAGAUGUGAAAUCCCCGGGCUCAACCUGGGAACUGCAUUUGUGACUGCAUAGCUAGAGUACGGUAGAGGGGGAUGGAAUUCCGCGUGUAGCAGUGAAAUGCGUAGAUAUGCGGAGGAACACCGAUGGCGAAGGCUAUCCCCUGGACCUGUACUGACGCUCAUGCACGAAAGCGUGGGGAGCAAACAGG
This 253-nucleotide ribosomal RNA is filed under the name uncultured bacterium. Its description in RNAcentral is "partial 16S ribosomal RNA". It matches the Rfam family "Bacterial small subunit ribosomal RNA", at positions 524 to 776 of the family's 1533-position model. The record is from RNAcentral.